ACAAUGCUUUUGGCCAAAGCUUAGGUGCUGGAGGAAUUUUUUUCCUUCAGCAAAUGCCUUCUGCAACCCCCUGCUGCACGGGUGUUUUAAUUACACAUUUGUGAAGACAUACAAUGACUUCUCUUGUUCCAUGUGGAUGGGCCUCAUGCUUCCCUCUGGCUCUAAGGAGGGAAAUAACAACUUUUGGUUUGCGUGAAUCCUCAAAAAUCCUCCCCUUUACUUACAAGACCUUUGCUCUCCUUCGGCUGUUUGAGUUGUGCUAGUCACCAUUCCCCCAACCACAGCAAGUGCAGGUGAAUACUGUCCGCUUGCGCGUUCACUGGGUUUUACUGUGAUAGAAGGGUUCUCGGCAGUUGACGAAUUCAACGUUAACCGUUUAGUUCACCAUUACAUGUUGGAAUGUGAAGAUAGCGGAAGGACAGCCGGAUGGAGGGUAAUUAGGAGGAAAUCCUGAGAAAGAAUCUUCAAAAUACUGAAAAAAAAAUUGCUGGCGGCACUAUUCAUGGAAAGUGGAAUUUGGCCCGGCUGUGACCCCCCAUGCCAGGCUUUAACUCCCUGGUGGAGGAGACAGAUGGUGAGGCGAGGAAAGACAGAAAAGUGACUGCUUACUCCAGAGAAGCAAAUGAAAGAAAAUAGAAUAUUAUAUUUUCUCCUUACCAUAUAAGCCUCAAAUAAAAAGCAUCUAACAAUUCAAUGAUCUUAACUUGGACCUGGCAGGAGAUAUAUACUGAAGCAGUGGCUAAAACUCUAAAAGGUACCAAUCUGUAAGGCUAUGAGAUGACAUAUCAAUUUUUUUCUCAGAAGAAACACCCUAGCUACAUUUCAUCAUUGAAUGUGGCCAUGUAUUGGCCCAGUAAUCUUCACAAGCAUCACAACCAAUUACUUAGGGCUUUA
Callithrix jacchus (white-tufted-ear marmoset) is the source of this 894-nucleotide non-coding RNA. Lineage: Eukaryota; Metazoa; Chordata; Mammalia; Primates; Cebidae. The record is from RefSeq and is a predicted model, not a curated record.